GUGACCAACCGCUUGUCUACUUAUCUCUCCCUAUUUCUCUCUCAUAAUCAGAGAGCCGUAGGAACCAAACCCGUAAGCGCAAACAACCUCUCGAAAUCUCUUCCUCUCGUCUCAUCUCCUCAUAUAUCUUUCUCUCUUUAAAUCAAAACCUAUAAAAGAAACCUGUUUUCGAAUUCUUCCCUCUAAUUUACCCUUCAAUUUCUUAUCUGCUUUUCAAUUUUACGAUAAUUUUCGACUUCGAUCGGGCUAAUUCAAACCCUAGAUUGUAUCUUUGGUCAAAGACUGAACUUUGUUUGUAUAGAUCUGAGUUUUGAUUCAUCUAUUUGGUUUAAAAGGAACCCCAAAUCGUUGAUAUUUUAAAAAGAUAAUUGUCCGGUUGAAUUAGGGUGAGAUCGAGGUAUCUAGCUGUGAGAAUAUUGUAAAAGGGGGGAUUGUUGAGGUGGUGAGGAACAAAAGGGUAGAAAAUGGCAGAGCAAGGAGGCUUGGAAGGUAGCCAGCCUGUGGAUCUUUCCAAGCACCCUUCUGGCAUUGUUCCUACUCUUCAGAACAUUGUAUCAACAGUGAACUUAGAUUGUAAGCUGGAUCUUAAGCAAAUUGCAUUGCAAGCACGUAAUGCAGAAUACAACCCAAAGCGUUUUGCUGCCGUUAUUAUGAGAAUUAGGGAACCAAAAACUACUGCAUUGAUUUUUGCCUCUGGGAAGAUGGUGUGUACGGGUGCAAAAAGUGAGCAGCAGUCAAAAUUGGCAGCAAGGAAGUAUGCUCGAAUUAUCCAAAAGCUUGGGUUUCCUGCCAAGUUUAAGGUAUUAAUGUUCUUUGUCGUUCCCCACUAUUUUCUGUCUCUAUGCACAUGCAUGCAUGUGGCGUGAGAAUACACACUAACACAUAUUACUACUUAUCGCUGUUCUAUCUUGACCGGUUUAUUGCCUUUAAACUUAUCCCCUUUGUUCACAUAUUCUUGUGGAAAUUGCCAGGAUUUCAAGAUUCAGAAUAUUGUUGGUUCCUGUGAUGUGAAGUUCCCUAUCAGACUUGAAGGUCUGGCAUACUCUCAUGGUGCUUUCUCAAGUGUAAGUAACAACCGUUACCUGUCAAGCUUAAUAUACUAGUUGGUACCAUGAGGUUGCUUGGUUGAAAGUCUUUCAUUAAUUACCGCCAUUAUUACUCUGUGCAGUAUGAACCUGAGCUCUUUCCAGGCCUAAUUUAUCGCAUGAAACAGCCGAAGAUUGUGUUGCUUAUUUUUGUUUCAGGAAAAAUUGUGAUCACAGGAGCCAAAGUGAAUUCAGCAGCUAUUGUCCAUCUAUGAUAUGAUGCUGCUGUUCAUAGUUGUACUUUGGUAAUUUUAAUUGUUUUUUUUCUUGUUUCACAUAUUUAGGUAAGGGAUGAGACAUACACAGCCUUUGAGAAUAUAUACCCGGUGCUAACUGAGUUCAGGAAGGUCCAACAAUGAUAUACAUUUGCGUUGGUGGGAUGAGUGCAGCUGUGGAUGGCUAUGGAUGAGGUGCUUUCAAGCGUGCAUAUAUAAAGGGGUGGUUUGGCAGCUAUAGCUUAUAAGCUGUUGGUCUGUUCCUGUGGUCUUUAAUCCUGUGGAUAAGUUGGGGGUUUGUAUCCCUCGCCAAGUGGGAAUAGAUGACAGGGUUAACGAGCUCUGUAAUUUGUAAUUAGCGAUUGGAUUAGGAGUUUGUUAGGGGAGGAGAAGAUGCUAAAGAAAUAUGUUUUUGUUUUAAUCUCAUGUGGACUAUUCUUGGACAGGUAAUGUGACAGACGUGGUUUCAAUUUUGGCUGGAAACAUGUGCCUUAUUUAUGGAUUGUUUUUCCAUUUAAGGUCCUGUAUACAGUGUAUUUUAGGAGGGAAAAAGCUAGUAUGAACACAAGGAUGGCAACUCUGUCCUGCAUCCUAAUAACUGUUUUUGACUCUUCUUUGACCUUUGUAUCUUGAUAUGGAGUGGAUGGGGAUAGGACCUCUUCCUCGUCCCGAACUUCUACAUCAAAAAAAA
RNAcentral lists this unclassified non-coding RNA (1991 nucleotides) under Hevea brasiliensis (rubber tree). Lineage: Eukaryota; Viridiplantae; Streptophyta; Magnoliopsida; Malpighiales; Euphorbiaceae. The record is from RNAcentral.